This is a long non-coding RNA of Myodes glareolus (Bank vole), 6052 nucleotides long. RefSeq lists it as uncharacterized. The record is from RefSeq and is a predicted model, not a curated record. Lineage: Eukaryota; Metazoa; Chordata; Mammalia; Rodentia; Cricetidae.
UCCAGUCCUUGCCGUUCCCGCGCGGGUUGCGCGGGUUCUUUCUGCCCCUCGGGAGCGGCUGCCGGGCGCUGGGCCACUCUGGGCGGUGCGCCGACUCCAGGGGUGAUGGUCACACGGGCAGGUCGCGCAGUGUCAAGGACUCCAUGGCAGUCCAGCCAGGGUGAUCUGUGGAGCCUGGGAAUUUCUCCAUUCUAUGGGCCACAUACCUAGGAGAUGCAUGUUUGGUCCUGAAGAUAGCCGGAGUGGGAGCUCACCUAAGGGCCACAGGAAGAUCGUUAUUAUCCAAAGAUGUUUCAACCAAGUUUGAUGGAUGUUCACGCCAAGAUCUGGAUGUAGAACUCUCAGUUCCUUCUCCAGCACCAUGUCUGCCUGCAUGCUGCCAUGCUCCCUACCGCGAUGAGAAUAGACCAAACCUCUGAGCGAACACUGGCUAAGACGACCUAUGAACAAGCAUUUCUGAGGCCUCAGUGGUGCCGAGUGCAGCCAUCAGCUGGGUGUAUCUGUCUUUCCCGUGCUGGAGCUUUGCCUGGGAGGGACAUGACCAUGAGGAGCUAAUCUCAAAUGCAGAAGGCACAGUAUACAGUAUAAGAAAGUCUCCAGAGAGGCAAGAACGGCCAAUGGGAGAAGGCCCCAUCUUCCGCAGCCCUAUCCAGAUGCCACCAUGCUGCUGCUUCCUGUGGAGGUGUCUGGAGGCUCAGUCGUACUACCCAGGUGUGUGUGCACAUGUUGUCAGAGUUACUGUCAGCUGUGUGUUUGCAAUCCUCUUUUCCUGCAGCCUCCCUCAGAACUGUUGUUCCAUGCCUGCUGACCAGGGCCAAGCUUGCUUCCUGGCCACUGCCAUUCCUCUGGGUUUGAACUUCCCUUCAGGCAUCAGUAUCUGAUUACUGAACACUUCUGCUGUGUUUGUCAUCCGUGGUCAAGGCCAUCCAGCGGGGUUAGAUAUGAGUGACCAGACUCCAGCUCCGCAGGAUCCCCGAGACCCUCGUGUCCAUGCCUACACCAGCAUCGACUGCAAGCCACCAACACGUUCUCAGUAGAGCUUGCUCUUGGCUCAUCCAGGUGAGCUGCUUUCCGGACAUCAAGCUCCGCCCCUGCUGCAGUCUGGCACUGUGUGCUGUCUUCCUUCCCAGGAACACAUCCGGAGGCUGAAUGAACAGAGCCAGCCUCAGAGGAUACUAUCACCUAUCAGACUAUCAGCCUGUGGGGGACGACAGCUGCUCGUCCAGCCCCACCCUCCAACAAGCCUGCGAGCCUGUGCAUCCUCCGUCAGCGGUAGCCGCUUGCUGUGUUCUUUUGCUCUGAACGCGAACACCAUCAAGACUUAAGCUGCAGCAAAAAAAAAAAAAAAAAAAAAAAAAAAAAAAGCCAUCUGGAACUUUCAGUCCACGGAGGUGCUGAGGUCACACUGUCCAGGAGCCAUUUGGGAGUCCUGGCUUGUAGCCCUGCUUCACUCAUUGAUGAGAACAAACUGGAGAGAGUGUCUGUCUUUUCCCAGAAGACACCUGGCUGUGUUGCUCAAGCCCUUAUUGUCAUGGCCACCCCACCCUGUGUGCUGUCACGAAUCUCCUACCUUUGUCUCAGGCAACGCCACCUGGCAUGGCCCCUGCAGCCACUUGGCAUGCUGUGGGAAGUGGGACUGCCUGAGAGCUCCCACUGAGGUGGGAGAGGCCUAACUGCGUGGCAGCUUCAAAACUGAAGGAGAACGGCUCGGGAGAUGGUUCAGCCAGGAAAGCACCAUCAUGCAAGUACGAGAACCUCAGUUCGAAUUCCCGGUACCCAUCUAUUUCCCAGUAGCUGAGCACGGCAGUGCACAUUUGUGACUCCAGUGCUCGGGUGGUGGAGGCAGGAGGAUUCCUAUUGCUCAUUGACUGGCCCUCUUAGCCGAUUCAAUGAGGUUCAAUAAGGGACUGUGUCUCAAAAACAAAGCAAAACAAAAAGCUGAAGAGUCAUAGAGGAAAGCAUCUGGCAUUGCCCUCUGACCCCCACAUGCAGGCACGCACUCACACAUGUACACUUAAUGUGAACAUGUACAUACACCAUAUGUGCAUGUGCACCACAUGGCAAGGAGGAGGCCUGUCUGCUCUCAGCAGCUGUGUGCCCUUAGACAAGUUAGAUCACCUACCUGAGCCUUUGUUUACAAAAACGGCACAGGUGGGACCCCUGGCAGCACAGCCCACAGGAGAACAAAUAAGAUUGGCACAUGACCUAAGGCACAGUGGCUUUGAAAGAAAAUGGGCCCCAAGGGGAGUGGCACUAUAAGGAGGUGUGGCCUUGUUGGAGGUAGUGCACAACUGUGGGGGCGGACUUUGCAGUCUCUUGCUCAAGCUUCCCUCAACGUGACUUUCAGUCAACUUCCUGUUACCUGUAAGAUGUGGGACUCUCAGCUACUUCUCCACACCAUGUCUGCCUGCAUGCCGCCAUUCUACCAGCCAUGAUGAUAACAGACUGAGCAUCUGAAAGUGUAAGCGAGCCACCCUUUGUAAGAGAGGACCGUCACGGCCAUGGUGACUUUCUACAGCAAUAAAAGCCCUAACUGAGACAGCGUGCCACAACUGACAACCCUCACUUCCGCUGAGGGAGUGCACUGAGGCACAGGUCCCUUGCACCUCAUCUUCCAGGUCUCCCCUCCCCUGCCCAUUUGGAUCAGCGUGGUCACCAUAGACCUCACACAGCCAGCUCCAAACGCUCCCUGGCCACCACGGGACCUCUCACUUCAGACCCUCCAUUUGACCAAACACAGCAGUUCAUUUCCAGAGCACAGUUACAGGUUUUCUCCAACAUUCUGGUCCCUUCUCCCUUGUGUGCAUGGUGACAGCAUUGUGAUGGGACCCCUGCCUCUUGUCCUUCCUCCAGUUGUCAAGACUUCCUCCAAGUCUUGUCCUUCCUGGCCUCUGAGAUUCUUCCUGGGGCUUUCAGCAUAUAGCCUUCCAUUCAUUCAUUCACUCAUCCAUCCAUCCAUCCAUUCAUUCAUCACACACUAUCACCCGCCCAUCCUUCAUUCAUCCAGCACCUAUCCAUCCCCCGUUUAUCACGCAUCCCCCCAACACCCGGUCAUCACCUCUCCACCACCCUCCAGCACCCGUCCAUUGUCCAUCACUCUGUCGUCUACCACCCUCCCCUACUCAUUCAUCCUCUAUCUUCUCUCUGCCACACAGUCAUCCAUCUUAUCCGUCCAUUCACACAUCCGCCCUUUUCACAAGCUGAUGACUCAGGUCUGCUCUCAGCUCCACAGCAUAACCGCUGAAAGUCACACACUUGGCGGGGAAGCUAAUGUCAAGAAAAUUAACCAGCAAACGGGGCAUCAGCUUUCUUUCCGUGCCCUUCCCCUCAGGAUCUGGCCGUCUCUCUGGCUUCUCCUCUCACCCCCCUCACCUACCACAACCCAGGAACUCAGUGAGAACUCCCCUCAGCCUGGAGAGCUGGUCCUUGUACCUUUCCCAGUGAGUUCCUUUCCACUACUCAGGAAGCAGGCUGCCUUCAGUGUGCAACCUGAAGACGGACUGGCUGAAUGACGAAGGCAACAUUUGGCUAAUGCGCCCACCAAAGAAGAGUCAUAGGCAACACUACUAGGAAGACAGUUGUCCACCUUCCAGAUUCUCUGCGUCUGGGGAUGGGGGAGGAGGGCUUGCCAUGGGCAUUCUGGCUAAAGGCCAUGGUCUCCCUGUCCUCUGUGUACAUUCAGCUUCCUGUGUGCAGCUAUCGUGCAUACAUGAGAGCUCAAGUCUUCCUCCCGGCUCUUUUCAGCCAAGACCAUCCUGCCCUUUAACCCAGAGCUGCCUUACCCCACAAGGGUCACCUGAGGGAGGGUCAGUGUCACACAUUCCCGUGUCGUCUGUGACUGUUUCCUCUGUGGCAUGUCCCCCUUCCCAGUCCCAAGCUCUGGGUUCCUAAUUUCGAGUUAAGAAUGCUUUAAGGUUUCUGGGUUUAUGUGGACCCGAAAAGCAGAACCAGGAAUCUUGUUCAUGAACUCUGAACUUGAGGCUCCCCCUGUAAUGUUUUCAUGAAGCUUCUCCCCAAGGUCCCUGCACUCUGGGUGCCUUUCUAGGUGUCUGAAGGCCCAGGAGGAGGCAAGAGCCUUGCUCUGUCUGUGGUUCCUCAGGGGAGGAGGGCAGGAAGCUCGCUUCUUCCUCCCCCACGUCUCCCAGGCCCUCCUCCCCCAGGCCCAUCCCUCACUGCUGUUCCAAGGAGGCGGAAGAAUGUCGUAGAUGCUGUAGCUGUUUUUCUGGAAGACUGUGAAGGCGCAUUAAAAUAUGUGGUCCGUGGGCGUGAGCUGGGCUGGGGCCUCACAGCUCCCUGAUGGGGGAAAGCACCAUGGAGAUGUGGUGGGGAGGGAGGCAGACAGACAGACAGACAGUGGAGGCAGAUGGAGAGAAAGAGCACGAUCUUUCUGAGGGUCUGGCCCCUGGUAUGGCCUCUGGUUUUCGGUCCUGCACGCAGAUUUACGAGGGUUUAUCCUAAGCGUCUACAGUGUGAGGCCAUGGAUAUACACCGUGGUUAUUUUGGGGAGUAGCAGGGAACCGCUCAUGGAAACUGCCUGCCUGGCCUCUCUGCCCCCUCCCUGUGCCCUAUUCCCUGUUCCUCUCUAAGGAACUAGCAGGAUGCAGGCAGAGAGGGUUCACGGCCGGCCAGCCCCUUGGUUCAAGUGGGAGCCCCUGGCUUGCAGGCCAAGCUGGUUGCUGGGGAUGGCCUGGCCUGUGAAAAGAUGCUGAGCAGAGAGGAACGGGGGCAGGAUGGGGAAAUCUAGUGGGGGGGAGGCUGUGAUCCGAGAGAGCAGGAGAAAAUAUGAGCUGAGCAGAGUGGAGCUCCGCCCCAUCUGAGCCCCUGUCCUCUACUCUGGGAAGUGAGGCUCAGCAUGUGGCUGGUGGCCAUUCUCUGGCCCUGAUCUGCCAGGAGCAGGAGAGGUUUGGGGAAGCUGCAUCCCUCAGGUGCAGGGUGGCAGCGCCACCCUUCCCAGAUGCUGGCCGGUACUCUCCUUUGAACCAUCUCCAAAUCCUGUUGUGCCAAUCUUAAAAUAUCUUCACUCUCCUGCACCCAGUACCCUGUUAUCACAUCCCAUCCCUUGCUAUACCCAAGGCUAAUGGCCUCCCAUCUCUGGGCUGGGCUCUUCAGGCCUGAACCCUGACCACUGUGAUUUGCUCUAAAGCAUGGCAUCACCCUCCCCAGUCGUGAAGUAUGGGGUCUGCUGGCUGCGUUGAGGUGGCCACCCUUGUUCUCCCUCUGGGGGUUCAGUCCGCAGUCUCCUUGACAGAAGUCACAUGACCCCAUGUGGAAACUUGGUGUGGGCAGAGGAAGGAGAGCCAUCUUGAGCCCCACUAAAAAAGGGGGCAGAGCCUUGAUCCAGCCUCACCUGAUGAUGUCUGUGCUUGCCCAACUUGGGUUGUUGGUUCAAUUUUUUGAGACAAGGUCUUGCUGUGUAGCCCAGACUGGUUUGAACUUUCUGUUUCGGCCCCCUGUGACUUCAUUACUUCAAGAAGUACUGCUCUGUCACUAGUGUGUGAUUGACAGGUCGUAUAGGAGGGUCAGACAAUAGCCUCAGCUACAGUAGCCUCAUUGACCACACCCCUUUUUCUCAGCCACUUUCCUCGUACAAGGUACAGGCAGUGUCCUUGCCGCUAGCUGAAGGGAGCAGGCAAGAUGGCCGCCCCUCUGCAGUGUUUGCUCCUACAUGACCUCCAGAAGCCCAUGUCCUCUGACUCGCCCUUGGUGUGUUCAGACAUCUAUUUCUGGGCUUGCAAGUUACUGGGCUUCUGAAACUCUUGUGCCGUGGCCCCACAGCAGCAGAGCCUCUUAAAGGAGAGCUAACCCAGGGUCAGAGCUGGGUGCAGACGCAGCUUUUCGGUCGCGCUGGAACCACGGGUAAGAACUUGGCCCACUGCCCUUUACAGCAGGAGGCGGAGUCUCCACAGCAGACAGGUGUGAGCGGCACCUUCCCAGACGUCCCAGGCUCUGCGCAUUCCCGCGGACAUGUACCCAUCUUCCCGCAGCCUGAUUUUUUUACACCAGAUUUAUUGACGUACAAUUUGCAUACCAUAAAUCUGCCCAUUCGGAGUGC